GCAUCCAGAAAAUGUGUGCAUUUGCCACUUGCAUUUGCAAAGCCUAAGUCCUUCAUCAGUGUAAUCUUGCCUGGACUCCUAGCAGCUCCAGUGCUCCUUCAGUGAACUCCUGGCUCAGUUAAAACCAAUGAUGAGGUUCAGUUUGGACAGCAGCCAAUCCAUUAAUGCAGGAAACUGGUCAGCUGGUACGUAAUAUUUGCUAGUCCCUGCAAGAUUUAUGCUCCUCUAAAACACUCCCCAUACAU
This is a long non-coding RNA of Cygnus olor (mute swan), 245 nucleotides long. RefSeq lists it as uncharacterized. The record is from RefSeq and is a predicted model, not a curated record. The transcript has 3 exons. NCBI's taxonomy places the organism in Eukaryota, Metazoa, Chordata, Aves, Anseriformes, Anatidae.